AUUGAACGCUGGCGGCAGGCCUAACACAUGCAAGUCGAACGGUAACAGGAAGCAGCUUGCUGCUUUGCUGACGAGUGGCGGCCGGGUGAGUAAUGUCUGGGAAACUGCCCGAUGGAGGGGGAUAACUACUGGAAACGGUAGCUAAUACCGCAUAACGUCGCAAGACCAAAGAGGGGGACCUUAGGGCCUCUUGCCAUCGGAUGUGCCCAGAUGGGAUUAGCUAGUAGGUGGGGUAACGGCUCACCUAGGCGACGAUCCCUAGCUGGUCUGAGAGGAUGACCAGCCACACUGGAACUGAGACACGGUCCAGACUCCUACGGGAGGCAGCAGUGGGGAAUAUUGCACAAUGGGCGCAAGACUGAUGCAGACAUGCCGCGUGUAUGAAGAAGGCCUUCGGGUUGUAAAGUACUUUCAGCGGGGAGGAAGGGAGUAAAGUUAAUACCUUUGCUCAUUGACGUUACCCGCAGAAGAAGCACCGGCUAACUCCGUG
RNAcentral lists this ribosomal RNA (490 nucleotides) under uncultured bacterium. RNAcentral describes it as "partial 16S ribosomal RNA". It matches the Rfam family "Bacterial small subunit ribosomal RNA", at positions 30 to 507 of the family's 1533-position model. The record is from RNAcentral.